This 4100-nucleotide long non-coding RNA is filed under the name Gallus gallus (chicken). The record is from RNAcentral. Lineage: Eukaryota; Metazoa; Chordata; Aves; Galliformes; Phasianidae.
CUUGCCAUGCGCUGCCCGCGGCCCUGCGCGGAGGAGGAGGCGGCGGUGGCCGCGGCCGAGGGUGGGGAGCGCGGCCCGAGUCGGCCCCGUUCUCCCAGGCGGCGGCGGGGGUUCCCUGUUUCCCUCCCGCUCCUCUCCGCGCUGCGGGGGCCGAGCCGGGCGCGGCGGCGGGGGAGGAGGGAAGGGAAGAGAGGAGGAGCCGCCGCCGCUGCGAGGCGGGCGGGCUGCACACACACAGGCACAGUGUGCGGAGGAGGAGGAGGAGAAGGAGGAAGGAGGAGGAGAAGGAGGUCGUCGCCUCGGCGCGGCCCCGGCCACCCUGCGCAGCGCGGCGGCGGGGCCGGCGGCGGCGCGCGCCCCGGCGGCUGAGGGAAAGAAAGUGAUUCUCUGCAAUGGAAAUUUUGACAAAGUAACUUCUGAUCUUCAAAAAGUAAAGGCAGGGAGAGUACGGCAGAUGAUUUCCCACGUUGAUGGAAGUAUAAGGUAAAUGGGUUGCAUUCGCUCUUUCUUUUGCAGCAUUGGUCCCUGCCUCUCUCUGUUCCUCUCUCAUUGGCUAAGUCUCUUAUGCCAAAUCAGUAUGAAAAGCAGGGAACAGGAGGAGUUCUGCUGUCUGCAUCUUUUGCUCCUGAACUCCUCUGCUCACUUGCACAUUCCUACGUUCCAUUGAGUUACCUGCCUUUGUUCUUAGGUCAGAGCCUGCUUCCCAGAAACAGUGGAAAGAGCCGUUUUCCUAUUGCAGAACAGGAGUUAAUGGGGGCGGGCAGUAGAGAACCUCUCCUGCUGGCUUCUUGGGAUUUCUGAUGUUCUUAAUGGCUCGUCGCUGAGCCUUGCUCAUUUUGGAAGCUGAAUGAAUUGUCACUGAACCUUGCUCAGUUUGAGUGUUGUAUCCUUCCCUCUCUUUCAAAGGUGAGUGGUCCCUCCUUGUGUGCUAUGAACUGUUUUUUGUUUGGGGAAUCUUGGCUGUACAAAGUUCCUGAGCUCCCAGACACUGCUGCUCUUGCAGUAGCUUCAGCUUUGCAGGCUGUGUGUACGUUAUCUAACUUCAGAAAUUAGUCAUGUCAUCUCUACUUUUUCUUUCACUUUCCCACUGUGCUUCCAUAACCCCAUGUUCUUUAUUUUAUUCAUCCUGCUAAGAAAUCCUUAUGCUCCAACUUGAGGUAGGCCCUUCCCAUUUUGCUCUCUACCUUCUUCAUUUUUCUAGCCUAGGACCUUACAACCUUAAUAUCAGCUUUUCCCACUCCACUGUUGCGCAUUCCCACAGCCUUGACCUGAGAAUGUGGUUCCUGUCCCAAACUUACAGAGUGCUGGAGGCAGAGGUAAACCAACUGGCUUCACAGGGUAUAGCUGCCAACUUCAUUUUUGCAUGAAGUUGUAGCAAGAGCAGAGCAACUCUAGACUUUUGCUUAUGUGCAGUAUCUAGCAAGAGGUGCUGUCUCUGUGACUCACUGUAGCAUUUCAUACGUGGGAGUCAGGAGCAGCUUUCAUUGUCUGUUACCAGUGUACCACUAAGAAGGGUUUUAUGUACCGGGCUUUAUCAAAACAGAGAUGGAUAAUUGAAAAAAAAAAAAGAAAAAGAAAAGAAAAAUCAAGAAAUAUUCUUCCUAAACAUGCCUCAAAUUAGUAGCAGCACUUCCAGAUUUCAGACUGAUCCUUACCAGUUUUUUUUUUCUUUCAUUUAAAUGAGGGGAUGUGAUUUUCUUGAAAUGGGACAAUUACUGAAAUGUUUUUUUAGAUUAUUGAUGUAAGGACUGCUCCAAAGCUGCUACUGAAUACCCGAAGACUCAGUGAUUCCUCACACAAGAAUAUGCACUAGACCGGGACUCAAAAACAUCAGAAACAUAAUCUAUUCUCACGGGCUAGAAGUUGAGACAGUCAAAUUGUCAAAAGCUCUGAAAUGACGAUUUCCUCGUAAACAAUUGGUGAUAUUUUGAGAAGAGGUUAAACAAGCCCCGGAUUUUCAGGGAACAUUUGACAUCUUAUAAUUCUAAGUAAGGGCGGUCAACUUAUUGAUCGAUGUUGCAGUCAUUCUAACAAUUGAGUUGUGGAGUCACCACAGUUCCACAGCAGGUAUUUAUUCCUCAAGCAAUUAACAGGCAAUGCCUGCAAAUGGAGCUGUCCUCCUUGCUUUUGUCAUAUGGUAACCUUUUAGAAUUGGUGUAUGUAAAGUUAUGCUUUUUAGUUUAAGUUUUAAUUGUGUACAUUUCAAAUUCUGUUGCUAUUUUUUGUUUUGAAAGCCAAUCUUUUCUUCACUUUUUUGCUUCAAUGCAUUUUUUUAUUAAACAAAAUGAAUAGUUGCAUUGAUUAAGUAAAGUACAUUUUUAUACAGCCAAAAAAUACGAUUUGUUCCUCACAAACAUUAGUAAGCUUUAAAUAGUAAGCGGAAUGAACAGAUACAAUGCCUUAUUUUAUUACAUAUACAAAACAUUCAUAGUUUCUAAGAUUUCCCCUGUUAAAAAAAAAGAAAAGAAAAGAAACAGCUCUUUAGUGAAGAGCUAUCUUAGCAGUCAUUUUUUUUUCUGUUUAGCCUUGUAUUCUUUCAUGAUUAGAAAUCAAGAGAAGUUCCUCAGAAAGGAUUGUUUAGAGCUGCACUGACACCCUGUUCUGUGAAAAAUGUGCUUUGUGUAUGAAGAUCAGUGGGAAAUUCUCCUGCUUUCCCUGGCACUCUUCAGAAUUACUUGUGAUUUCAGCCUCUGCUAAAAUCAGUGGCAGAAUGCCAAUCCACUUCAGUAGAAGUGCAAAUUCAAAAGCCCUUGUUUUUCAGCCUGAUACUCGCUCUUUUCAUUAAGUUUAAUGAAAUGUUUCUUUAGCUAUGGAGAGUUGGACUGAAAUGUCAGUGAUACCCUUCCUAGUGCCUGUAUUUUAUUCACAGAGACUGAAUCGUAGCAGCAUGAGCUGUUUUAGUGAUUUUGCUGUGUGAAGUCUGUAAACAGAUUAGAUGGGUUGCUAGUUAAUGGAGGAUUUCUGGGUUGUUUUUCUCUUUGUUUGUUUCCCCUUAGUGAAGGAUAGUACAUUUAGAUCUCUUUAUGUGGAAAUAAAUCCAUGUACUAUUUACAGAUAUCCAGUGAAGACUCAUAUUCUAAAGAGAAAAUUGGGUUCUGAGUACCCAGAAAGACUGAAUUAAAAAGGCAAUAUAAAGUUAAUGCAGCCUAUCUUCAGCUUUCCUGUGAUCUGAAUAGCUAUUAACAAGGGGCUCUGGCUGGUCGUGCAAGCAGCUUUAGGGAGUCCACGUGUUGUGCAUGUUUUCAAAUUAUUGACUGAUUUGCUUUUGGAUUAUGUGUCCAUAUAUUCUCAUGAGAGCCGUUCCCUUACCUGAGGGUUGUAAAACUGAAGGUUGAUUUUUUUUGUUGUUGUUUCAACUUGCAGUGCCCUUAGGGGCCAAACAUAGGCUCAUACAUCAGUCGCAUUGAGAUUUUUUCAAAUUGGAUCUAUAAAUUAAAUAAUUGAAAGAUCUCUAACGUUGUUAAGGAAAGCGUUUUCUCUUGGAAUGCAUCUUUGCUGGCUGUCAGCAGCCUUUCUGCUACUCUUCAGUAGCAAAAGGUUCACAACUUACAUUUCUUUCUUAUUGGUAUGUGAAAGUACCAGGGUGACGAUAAUUUUCGUGUUGUAGCUGUGGACCAGCUCUUCACUUUCUACAUCCAGGUUUUCAUCAAUGUGACCUGGAUGAGAGAUAGUUUAGUCUCAUUUCCUUUAUGUAUGGUGGGUUAUUUCCACCCUUUUUAAAAAGUGGAAGCACCGCACACCACUGUUCUUUUUGGCAGUGUAUACUCAAGUUGCAUUAUUUUCCCAGUUUUGCUGAGUAUACCCUCAAUUUCAACUUCCAGAUGGUAUUUGCAAGGCUGUUGUUUUUUAUGGGUUUUUUUUUCUGUUUUUUGUUGUUGUUGUUUUUCUAAAGGCCUCUAUUGCUUUGUUCACAUUGGGAAUAAUUUGUCUGUGGUCUAUUCUCUAUCCAGAAACUGAAACUUCUCUGCCUGGUGACUGAGUAAUACCUUGAAUAGACGAGCUGGGAUUAUUCACAAUUUACUGUAUUUUUAUGCGAGGUUUAAAUCUUGUUAAAUGUGUAGUGACAGUGUGAAUUUGGUUUCUAACUACUUCUCCUCCCC